Molecule: ribosomal RNA, 465 nt
Filed under: Vreelandella stevensii
Lineage: Bacteria; Pseudomonadati; Pseudomonadota; Gammaproteobacteria; Oceanospirillales; Halomonadaceae
Description: partial 16S ribosomal RNA
Rfam family: Bacterial small subunit ribosomal RNA
Source: RNAcentral
CCUACGGGUGGCAGCAGUGGGGAAUAUUGGACAAUGGGGGGAACCCUGAUCCAGCCAUGCCGCGUGUGUGAAGAAGGCCCUCGGGUUGUAAAGCACUUUCAGUGAGGAAGAACGCCUGGUGGUUAAUACCCAUCAGGAAAGACAUCACUCACAGAAGAAGCACCGGCUAACUCCGUGCCAGCAGCCGCGGUAAUACGGAGGGUGCGAGCGUUAAUCGGAAUUACUGGGCGUAAAGCGCGCGUAGGUGGCUUGAUAAGCCGGUUGUGAAAGCCCCGGGAUCAACCUGGGAACGGCAUCCGGAACUGUCAAGCUAGAGUGCAGGAGAGGAAGGUAGAAUUCCCGGUGUAGCGGUGAAAUGCGUAGAGAUCGGGAGGAAUACCAGUGGCGAAGGCGGCCUUCUGGACUGACACUGACACUGAGGUGCGAAAGCGUGGGUAGCAAACAGGAUUAGAUACCCUAGUAGUC